AGUACAUAGAUGGCUGUUGGGCGGUCAGGCUAAUCUCCCGGAAGGGAGGUGAUGCCAUGGAGGUAUCUCAAACGCUGACGUUGAUGAUUUCUUUCGCAACGUUAAUCGUGCUGAUUCUUUCCUUCAACAAAAAGAAAUAGACCGCCCACCCGUGACAAGGUACGGUCUAUUCUUUGAACAAACCUCAGUCUAAGCCCACCGCCCAUAAAGCGGCUAUGUGCCCGGGUCACAGAUGCUGGUAACAUCUGCG
Molecule: small RNA, 250 nt
Filed under: Paenibacillaceae bacterium GAS479
Lineage: Bacteria; Bacillati; Bacillota; Bacilli; Caryophanales; Paenibacillaceae
Description: BsrG
Rfam family: BsrG
About the family: bsrE, bsrG and bsrH pair through intermolecular interactions with antisense sRNAs. SR4 interaction with the 3'UTR of bsrG RNA promotes bsrG degradation and inhibits its translation. SR5 also overlaps bsrG from nucleotide 163 to 52 (Rfam overlap check).
Source: Rfam by way of RNAcentral